ACAGCAGCCGCCGCGGUAAUACGUAGGGUGCAAGCGUUAAUCGGAAUUACUGGGCGUAAAGCGUGCGCAGGCGGUUAUAUAAGACAUAUGUGAAAUCCCCGGGCUCAACCUGGGAACUGCAUUUGUGACUGUAUAGCUAGAGUACGGCAGAGGGGGAUGGAAUUCCGCGUGUAGCAGUGAAAUGCGUAGAUAUGCGGAGGAAUACCGAUGGCGAAGGCAAUCCCCUGGGCCUGUACUGACGCUCAUGCACGAAAGCGUGGGGAUCAAACAGGAUUAGAUACCCCCGUAGUCCCUGUCUCUUAUAC
This 305-nucleotide ribosomal RNA is filed under the name uncultured bacterium. RNAcentral describes it as "partial 16S ribosomal RNA". It matches the Rfam family "Bacterial small subunit ribosomal RNA", at positions 508 to 807 of the family's 1533-position model. The record is from RNAcentral.